RNAcentral lists this ribosomal RNA (446 nucleotides) under uncultured Pelotomaculum sp. RNAcentral's name for it is "bacterial SSU rRNA". It matches the Rfam family "Bacterial small subunit ribosomal RNA", at positions 936 to 1382 of the family's 1533-position model. Lineage: Bacteria; Bacillati; Bacillota; Clostridia; Eubacteriales; Desulfotomaculaceae. The record is from RNAcentral.
AGCAUGUGGUUUAAUUCGAAGCAACGCGAAGAACCUUACCAGGUCUUGACAUCCCGAUGCUAUUCUAGAGAUAGAAAGUUACUUCGGUACAUCGGUGACAGGUGGUGCAUGGUUGUCGUCAGCUCGUGUCGUGAGAUGUUGGGUUAAGUCCCGCAACGAGCACAACCCCUACGUUUAGCUGCUAACAGGUGAAGCUGAGCACUCUAGACGAACUGCCGUUGACAAAACGGAGGAAGGUGGGGAUGACGUCAAAUCAUCAUGCCCCUUAUGUUCUGGGCUACACACGUGCUACAAUGGCCGGUACAGACGGAGGCGAAGCCGCGAGGCGGAGCAAAUCCGAAAAAGCCGGUCUCAGUUCGGAUUGCAGGCUGCAAUUCGCCUGCAUGAAGUCGGAAUCGCUAGUAAUCGCAGGUCAGCAUACUGCGGUCGAAUACGUUCCGGGCCUU